Molecule: antisense RNA, 135 nt
Filed under: Escherichia coli
Lineage: Bacteria; Pseudomonadati; Pseudomonadota; Gammaproteobacteria; Enterobacterales; Enterobacteriaceae
Description: sok antitoxin (CssrC)
Rfam family: sok antitoxin (CssrC)
About the family: Also identified in Shigella as CssrC.
Source: RNAcentral
GGGUGCUUGAGACUGUUUGUCUCAGGUAUUCACCGAAAGGCAGACAGAGAAAAGCCCCACCUGACUAUAAAUCAAAGUGUGUACUGCACCCAUUUUGUUGGACGAUGAAAUGGAAUAGCCCCUAAUAUGUCAAAG